AGCCUUAUUGAAAUUCUGUGGCUGUUCCCUG
This 31-nucleotide non-coding RNA is filed under the name Mus musculus (house mouse). The record is from RNAcentral. Lineage: Eukaryota; Metazoa; Chordata; Mammalia; Rodentia; Muridae.